UACGGGGGGGGCAAGCGCUGUCCGGAUUCAUUGGGCGUAAAGGGCGCGCAGGCGGCCCGGAAAGUCGGAUGUGAAAACUCGGGGCUCAACCCCGAGCGUGCACCCGAUACUGCCGGGCUUGAGGCAGGUAGGGGAGAUCGGAAUUCCUGGUGUAGCGGUGAAAUGCGCAGAUAUCAGGAGGAACACCGGUGGCGAAGGCGGAUCUCUGGGCCUGUCCUGACGCUGAGGCGCGAAAGCUAGGGGAGCGAACAGG
This 253-nucleotide ribosomal RNA is filed under the name uncultured bacterium. Its description in RNAcentral is "partial 16S ribosomal RNA". It matches the Rfam family "Bacterial small subunit ribosomal RNA", at positions 524 to 776 of the family's 1533-position model. The record is from RNAcentral.